AUUGAACGCUGGCGGCAUGCCUUACACAUGCAAGUCGAACGGCAGCAUGGAAGAGCUUGCUCUUCUGAUGGCGAGUGGCGAACGGGUGAGUAAAGCAUCGGAACGUACCGUGUAGUGGGGGAUAACGUAGCGAAAGUUACGCUAAUACCGCAUACGCACUGAGGUGGAAAGCAGGGGAUCGCAAGACCUUGCGCUAUACGAGCGGCCGAUGUCAGAUUAGCUAGUUGGUAGGGUAAAGGCCUACCAAGGCGACGAUCUGUAGCGGGUCUGAGAGGAUGAUCCGCCACACUGGGACUGAGACACGGCCCAGACUCCUACGGGAGGCAGCAGUGGGGAAUUUUGGACAAUGGGCGAAAGCCUGAUCCAGCCAUGCCGCGUGAGUGAAGAAGGCCUUCGGGUUGUAAAGCUCUUUCGGCUGGGAAGAAAUCGCACAGGCUAAUACUCUGUGUGGAUGACGGUACCAGCACAAGAACG
RNAcentral lists this ribosomal RNA (474 nucleotides) under uncultured bacterium. RNAcentral's name for it is "bacterial SSU rRNA". It matches the Rfam family "Bacterial small subunit ribosomal RNA", at positions 30 to 491 of the family's 1533-position model. The record is from RNAcentral.